Molecule: ribosomal RNA, 429 nt
Filed under: uncultured bacterium
Lineage: Bacteria
Description: bacterial SSU rRNA
Rfam family: Bacterial small subunit ribosomal RNA
Source: RNAcentral
UGGGGAAUAUUGCACAAUGGGCGCAAGCCUGAUGCAGCCAUGCCGCGUGUGUGAAGAAGGCUCUAGGGUUGUAAAGCACUUUCAGUAGGGAGGAAAUGCUAUUGAUUAAUACUCAAUAGUUUUGACGUUACCUACAGAAGAAGCACCGGCAAACUCCGUGCCAGCAGCCGCGGUAAUACGGAGGGUGCGAGCGUUAAUCGGAAUUACUGGGCGUAAAGCGCGCGUAGGUGGUUUGAUAAGCUAGCUGUGAAAGCCCCGGGCUCAACCUGGGAACUGCAGUUAGAACUGUCUGACUAGAGUACAGUAGAGGGUGGCGGAAUUUCCUGUGUAGCGGUGAAAUGCGUAGAUAUAGGAAGGAACAUCAGUGGCGAAGGCGGCCACCUGGACUGAUACUGACACUGAGGUGCGAAAGCGUGGGGAGCAAACAGG